This 93-nucleotide transfer RNA is filed under the name Mycobacteroides abscessus subsp. abscessus. Its description in RNAcentral is "tRNA-Phe(gaa)". Lineage: Bacteria; Bacillati; Actinomycetota; Actinomycetes; Mycobacteriales; Mycobacteriaceae. The record is from RNAcentral.
CCGGACCCUUGGGAUGGGUCCGAGUCCAGCCGAAGGUUGGACGAUGACCCGUGGGGGGUUAGUUUCGCCCCGGAUGCUUCUGAGAGUUCCGGU